RNAcentral lists this ribosomal RNA (219 nucleotides) under uncultured bacterium. RNAcentral's name for it is "partial 16S ribosomal RNA". It matches the Rfam family "Bacterial small subunit ribosomal RNA", at positions 111 to 334 of the family's 1533-position model. The record is from RNAcentral.
UAAUGUAUGGGGAUCUGCCCGAUAGAGGGGGAUAACUACUGGAAACGGUGGCUAAUACCGCAUAAUGUCUACGGACCAAAGCAGGGGCUCUUCGGACCUUGCACUAUCGGAUGAACCCAUAUGGGAUUAGCUAGUAGGUGGGGUAAAGGCUCACCUAGGCACGAUCUCUAGCUGGUCUGAGAGGAUGAUCAGCCACACUGGGACUGAGACACGGCCCAG